RNAcentral lists this ribosomal RNA (397 nucleotides) under uncultured bacterium. RNAcentral describes it as "bacterial SSU rRNA". It matches the Rfam family "Bacterial small subunit ribosomal RNA", at positions 362 to 776 of the family's 1533-position model. The record is from RNAcentral.
UAUUGCACAAUGGGGGGAACCCUGAUGCAGCGACGCCGCGUGAGUGAAGAAGUAUUUCGGUAUGUAAAGCUCUAUCAGCAGGGAAGAAAAUGACGGUACCUGAAUAAGAAGCCCCGGCUAACUACGUGCCAGCAGCCGCGGUAAUACGUAGGGGGCAAGCGUUAUCCGGAUUUACUGGGUGUAAAGGGAGCGUAGACGGUUAUGCAAGUCUGGAGUGAAAGCCCGGGGCUCAACCCCGGGACUGCUUUGGAAACUGUAAAACUGGAGUGCAGGAGAGGCAGGCGGAAUUCCUAGUGUAGCGGUGAAAUGCGUAGAUAUUAGAAGGAACACCAGUGGCGAAGGCGGCUUGCUGGGCCAUUACUGACGCUGAUGCACGAAAGCGUGGGGAGCAAAUAGG